This 253-nucleotide ribosomal RNA is filed under the name uncultured bacterium. RNAcentral's name for it is "partial 16S ribosomal RNA". It matches the Rfam family "Bacterial small subunit ribosomal RNA", at positions 524 to 776 of the family's 1533-position model. The record is from RNAcentral.
UACGGAGGGGGCAAGCGUUGUUCGGAAUUAUUGGGCGUAAAGCGUAUGUAGGCGGCUAAGUAAGUCAGGCGUGCAAGCCCGUGGCUCAACCACGGAAUUGCGUUUGAAACUGUUUAGCUUGAGUGCAGGAGAGGAAGGCGGAAUUCCCAGUGUAGCGGUGAAAUGCAUUGAUAUUGGGAAGAACAUCUGUGGCGAAGGCGGCUAACUGGCAGAACAUUGACGCUGAGGUGCGAAAGCGUGGGGAGCAAACAGG